Molecule: ribosomal RNA, 582 nt
Filed under: Pichia kudriavzevii
Lineage: Eukaryota; Fungi; Ascomycota; Pichiomycetes; Pichiales; Pichiaceae
Description: eukaryotic LSU rRNA
Rfam family: Eukaryotic large subunit ribosomal RNA
Source: RNAcentral
CAUAAGCGGAGGAAAAGAAACCAACAGGGAUUGCCUCAGUAGCGGCGAGUGAAGCGGCAAGAGCUCAGAUUUGAAAUCGUGCUUUGCGGCACGAGUUGUAGAUUGCAGGUUGGAGUCUGUGUGGAAGGCGGUGUCCAAGUCCCUUGGAACAGGGCGCCCAGGAGGGUGAGAGCCCCGUGGGAUGCCGGCGGAAGCAGUGAGGCCCUUCUGACGAGUCGAGUUGUUUGGGAAUGCAGCUCCAAGCGGGUGGUAAAUUCCAUCUAAGGCUAAAUACUGGCGAGAGACCGAUAGCGAACAAGUACUGUGAAGGAAAGAUGAAAAGCACUUUGAAAAGAGAGUGAAACAGCACGUGAAAUUGUUGAAAGGGAAGGGUAUUGCGCCCGACAUGGGGAUUGCGCACCGCUGCCUCUCGUGGGCGGCGCUCUGGGCUUUCCCCUGGGCCAGCAUCGGUUCUUGCUGCAGGAGAAGGGGUUCUGGAACGUGGCUCUUCGGAGUGUUAUAGCCAGGGCCAGAUGCUGCGUGCGGGGACCGAGGACUGCGGCCGUGUAGGUCACGGAUGCUGGCAGAACGGCAGACCGAACC